GAUGAACGCUAGCUACAGGCUUAACACAUGCAAGUCGAGGGGAAACGACAUCGAAAGCUUGCUUUUGAUGGGCGUCGACCGGCGCACGGGUGAGUAACGCGUAUCCAACCUGCCCAUCACUUGGGAAUAACCUUGCGAAAGUAAGACUAAUACCCAAUGAUAUCCAUAGAAGACAUCUGAAAUGGAUUAAAGAUUUAUCGGUGAUGGAUGGGGAUGCGUCUGAUUAGCUUGUUGGCGGGGUAACGGCCCACCAAGGCGACGAUCAGUAGGGGUUCUGAGAGGAAGGUCCCCCACAUUGGAACUGAGACACGGUCCAAACUCCUACGGGAGGCAGCAGUGAGGAAUAUUGGUCAAUGGACGAGAGUCUGAACCAGCCAAGUAGCGUGCAGGACGACGGCCCUAUGGGUUGUAAACUGCUUUUAUAAGGGAAUAAAGUGAGUCUCGUGAGACUUUUUGCAUGUACCUUAUGAAUAAGGACCGGCUAAUUCCGUG
RNAcentral lists this ribosomal RNA (492 nucleotides) under uncultured bacterium. Its description in RNAcentral is "bacterial SSU rRNA". It matches the Rfam family "Bacterial small subunit ribosomal RNA", at positions 28 to 507 of the family's 1533-position model. The record is from RNAcentral.